AUUGAACGCUGGCGGCAUGCCUUACACAUGCAAGUCGAACGGUAAAAGUAGCAAUACUUUGAGAGUGGCGAACGGGUGAGUAAUGCAUCGGAACAUGCCCAACUGUGGGGGAUAACGUAGCGAAAGUUACGCUAAUACCGCAUACGAUCUACGGAUGAAAGCGGGGGACCGUAAGGCCUCGCGCAGUUGGAGUGGCCGAUGUCAGAUUAGCUAGUUGGUAGAGUAAAAGCCUACCAAGGCAACGAUCUGUGGCUGGUCUGAGAGGACGACCAGCCACACUGGGACUGAGACACGGCCCAGACUCCUACGGGAGGCAGCAGUGGGGAAUUUUGGACAAUGGACGAAAGUCUGAUCCAGCAAUGCCGCGUGCAGGACGAAGGCCUUCGGGUUGUAAACUGCUUUUGUACGGAACGAAAGGAUCUUUUUUAAUAAAAAAGAUUUAUGACGGUACCGUAAGAAUAAGCACCGGCUAACUACGUGCCAGCAGCCGCAGUAA
This 496-nucleotide ribosomal RNA is filed under the name uncultured bacterium. RNAcentral's name for it is "partial 16S ribosomal RNA". It matches the Rfam family "Bacterial small subunit ribosomal RNA", at positions 30 to 523 of the family's 1533-position model. The record is from RNAcentral.